RNAcentral lists this ribosomal RNA (501 nucleotides) under uncultured bacterium. RNAcentral describes it as "partial 16S ribosomal RNA". It matches the Rfam family "Bacterial small subunit ribosomal RNA", at positions 30 to 523 of the family's 1533-position model. The record is from RNAcentral.
AUUGAACGCUGGCGGCAGGCUUAACACAUGCAAGUCGAGCGGAGAUGAGGUGCUUGCACCUUAUCUUAGCGGCGGACGGGUGAGUAAUGCUUAGGAAUCUGCCUAUUAGUGGGGGACAACAUUCCGAAAGGAAUGCUAAUACCGCAUACGUCCUACGGGAGAAAGCAGGGGAUCUUCGGACCUUGCGCUAAUAGAUGAGCCUAAGUCGGAUUAGCUAGUUGGUGGGGUAAAGGCCUACCAAGGCGACGAUCUGUAGCGGGUCUGAGAGGAUGAGCCGCCAAGCUGGGACUGAGACACGGCCCAGACUCCAACGGGAGGCAGCAGUGGGAAAUAUUGGACAAUGGGGGAAACCCUGAUCCAGCCAUGCCGCGUGUGUGAAGAAGGCCUUAUGGUUGUAAAGCACUUUAAGCGAGGAGGAGGCUACUGAGACUAAUACUCUUGGAUAGUGGACGUUACUCGCAGAAUAAGCACCGGCUAACUCUGUGCCAGCCGCCGCUGUAA